Small nucleolar RNA from Sorex fumeus (smoky shrew), 141 nucleotides. RefSeq annotates it as U8 small nucleolar RNA. Lineage: Eukaryota; Metazoa; Chordata; Mammalia; Eulipotyphla; Soricidae. The record is from RefSeq and is a predicted model, not a curated record. The transcript has a single exon.
UUGUCAGGUAGGAAGAUCCUUACCUGUUCCUCUAUUCAGAGGAAAGAUAGACAUGAUGACCGGAGUUUGGAGUUCCCAUGGUUCAUGAUUAAUGUCUCUGUGUGAUUAGGGCUCACAACACCCUAAAUGCUCCUAUCUCAU